CAGAUAUGAGCACUCCGACUUCCUUAUCUCAGAUCUACUCUGCACAACCCAGGGCACAUGAAUGUGCUUCAAUUUGUACCUACCCAGGAGGAAGUGUGACAAGCCUGAAAGCUGGCCACAAGUCUUUCCAAACAAAUACUUCCCAACAUGUCAACAUAGCCUACAACAUGACAGAGCCAAGGACAGUGAAGAUUUUGAGCACUGCUGACUUUCUCAGUUGUUCCUGACUGUAUGGGGUCAGAUACCAUGCCAAGUGUGGAGAUGCCAGAGUGGCUAAGAUGGCUAUAGUCUUUGCCACGACACUGGGGGAACGAGUGUGCACAGAGCACUACUGGUAGGGUCCUUGCAGUCCCUGGGUGGGCGGUGAGGUCCUGAACCAGAAUACGCCUUC
Molecule: long non-coding RNA, 391 nt
Organism: Tupaia belangeri chinensis (Chinese tree shrew)
Lineage: Eukaryota; Metazoa; Chordata; Mammalia; Scandentia; Tupaiidae
Exons: 3
Source: RefSeq, a predicted model, not a curated record